UACGUAGGGUGCGAGCGUUAAUCGGAAUUACUGGGCGUAAGGCGUGCGCAGGCGGUUCGCCAAGUCUGUCGUGAAAUCCCCGGGCUCAACCUGGGAAUGGCGAUGGAGACUGCAAGGCUAGAGUUUGGCAGAGGGGGGUAGAAUUCCACGUGUAGCAGUGAAAUGCGUAGAUAUGUGGAGGAACACCGAUGGCGAAGGCAGCCCCCUGGGUCAAAACUGACGC
This 223-nucleotide ribosomal RNA is filed under the name uncultured prokaryote. RNAcentral describes it as "partial 16S ribosomal RNA". It matches the Rfam family "Bacterial small subunit ribosomal RNA", at positions 524 to 746 of the family's 1533-position model. The record is from RNAcentral.